AUUGAACGCUGGCGGAAUGCUUUACACAUGCAAGUCGGGCGGCAGCACGGGGGCAACCCUGGUGGCGAGCGGCGAACGGGUGAGUAACACAUCGGAACAUGCCCAGUCGUGGGGGAUAACACUUCGAAAGAAGUGCUAAUACCGCAUACGUCCUGAGGGAGAAAGCGGGGGAUCGCAAGACCUCGCGCGAUUGGAGUGGCCGAUGUCAGAUUAGCUAGUUGGUGGGGUAAAGGCCUACCAAGGCAACGAUCUGUAGCUGGUCUGAGAGGAUGAUCAGCCACACUGGGACUGAGACACGGCCCAGACUCCUACGGGAGGCAGCAGUGGGGAAUUUUGGACAAUGGGGGCAACCCUGAUCCAGCCAUUCCGCGUGAGUGAAGAAGGCCUUCGGGUUGUAAAGCUCUUUCGGCAGGAACGAAACGGUGAGCUCUAACAUAGCUUGCUAAUGACGGUACCUGAAAAAGAAGCACCGGCUAACUACGUG
RNAcentral lists this ribosomal RNA (484 nucleotides) under uncultured bacterium. Its description in RNAcentral is "partial 16S ribosomal RNA". It matches the Rfam family "Bacterial small subunit ribosomal RNA", at positions 30 to 507 of the family's 1533-position model. The record is from RNAcentral.